Molecule: ribosomal RNA, 467 nt
Filed under: uncultured bacterium
Lineage: Bacteria
Description: bacterial SSU rRNA
Rfam family: Bacterial small subunit ribosomal RNA
Source: RNAcentral
UAGGGAAUAUUGGACAAUGGGUGAGAGCCUGAUCCAGCCAUGCCGCGUGCAGGAAGAAGGCGUUAUGCGUUGUAAACUGCUUUUUGCCAGGGGAUAAAAAGACCGUGCGCGGUUAAUUGAAGGUACCUGGUGAAUAAGCCACGGCUAACUACGUGCCAGCAGCCGCGGUAAUACGUAGGUGGCAAGCGUUGUCCGGAUUUACUGGGUGUAAAGGGCGUGUAGGUGGGUCUCUAAGUCGGUGGUGAAAGCCCGCAGCUCAACUGCGGAAUUGCCAUUGAUACUGGAGGUCUUGAGUACGGCAGAGGGAAAUAGAAUUCAUGGUGUAGCGGUGAAAUGUGUAGAUAUCAUGAAGAAUACCGGUAGCGAAGGCGGUUUCCUGGUCCGUAACUGACACUGAGGCGCGAAAGCGUGGGGAGCAAACAGGAUUAGAUACCCAAGUAGUCCCUGAGCGGGCUGGCAAGGCGCAU